Long non-coding RNA from Meleagris gallopavo (turkey), 814 nucleotides. RefSeq lists it as uncharacterized. NCBI's taxonomy places the organism in Eukaryota, Metazoa, Chordata, Aves, Galliformes, Phasianidae. The record is from RefSeq and is a predicted model, not a curated record.
GAGUUUCCUUGUACCGAGCUUAUGUUCUCCACCCACUACUUAGUAAGAACUCCUUAACAACUUAAAGCUUUAUCCCUCUGAGUACCAGAAAAGUGAUUUGAGUAGUUAUUGAGCAGGGAGAAUAAACUGCUUGCUCCGGGCAGGGAGGAAGCUUAUGGAAAUGAUAUUAGACCUUCAGCAAAGUGCACAGCUGCAUCAUACAGAAGCCGAGACUCAAAUUGACAGGCAAAUAAGCCAGAUCACGGAAGGGGCCUCUGUGUGGCAGCUCUGAGCUCCCAAGUGUUGGACAACUAGGCAAAAAGUGCACUGGAACAGGGCAGAAAAUAGCACACUAACUUCAGGCAACUGUUGCAUUUUCAUGGCCUGGAAAGUAACAUUUUCUGUAGAUGUCAGCUUCUGUCUGGUGUGAUGGUCCAUUCCUCUGGUGACGUCACAUGCAGCACUGAGUAAUACUGAUAAAAUGGAAGAGGUCUCUUAGAAUAAGGUGUCCACCUGCAGCUCAGUUUUGCAGCAGGAUCAUUUGUAUCACUUCACUAACUGCUGAGCAAGAGAAGCAAAUUUUGGGAGCAUGAUCAUUGUGAUACCCUCAGUGAUCUCUGUUUCAGUACAUUCUCUUCAGGGCUGUGAUUGUAACUGAUCAGUGAAAGAAAAAAAUUCAAAAGAAAAAGGAAACUGAAGAAGUUAAUUGUACCAGAACAGAAUGCAGCGAAGCUGAACGGCUUCCCGAAGAGCACUGAGUUUUCUAUACCAGAUUCUGCUCCAGUGGCUAGGACCUUUAUGGCUGCUGUUUCUUUUGCUCUGGGCUCUGAUGGAA